Molecule: small RNA, 131 nt
Filed under: Salmonella enterica
Lineage: Bacteria; Pseudomonadati; Pseudomonadota; Gammaproteobacteria; Enterobacterales; Enterobacteriaceae
Description: RtT sRNA
Rfam family: RtT RNA
About the family: This family represents a bacterial cis-regulatory element known as RtT RNA. The exact function of RtT is unknown although it is thought that it may be involved in changing the cellular response in relation to amino acid starvation.
Source: RNAcentral
AUAUCUCUCCGUACGGGAAGGGUGAGAAGCUUCGACUAAGGUUCGAUUCGAGCGCAGCGAGAAAGCGUUGCCGCAGGCAACGACCCGAAGGGCGAAGCGCGCAGCGCUGAGUAAUCCUUCCCCCACCACCA